This 384-nucleotide unclassified non-coding RNA is filed under the name soil metagenome. RNAcentral's name for it is "partial contains 5.8S ribosomal RNA, internal transcribed spacer 2, and large subunit ribosomal RNA". The stretch from base 1 to 120 matches the Rfam family "5.8S ribosomal RNA", at positions 35 to 154 of the family's 154-position model. The record is from RNAcentral.
GAUGAAGAACGUAGCGAAAUGCGAUAAGUAAUGUGAAUUGCAGAAUUCAGAGAAUCAUCGAAUCUUUGAACGCACCUUGCACCCUUUGGCAUUCCGAAGGGUAUGCUCGUUUGAGUGUCAUUGUACUCUCACUCUCCCGAUGCUUUUGGAUCGGGAGUGGUGGACUUGGGUGUUGCUGCUUUGCUGUGGCUCGCCUCAAAUGGAGUAGUGCAACUCUUGGUUGGACAUAGUACGGCGUGAUAAGUGUCUUCGCCGGCGCCUCAUUAUAGAGGGUGGCCGAUCGGGAGCUCUGUGCUUCAAACCGUCUUCGGACAACAUCUGACAACUUGACCUCAAAUCGAGUAGGACUACCCGCUGAACUUAAGCAUAUCAAUAAGCGGAGGA